AUCCUUAGGGUUUAAAACGAUCAGCUUCUGCCGUUGUGGCGAUCAAAAUACACAUAAGAUAACGAAUUGUUAUUUACUGAUAAUACCUAAAAGAAGAAGAUCUUUUGUAUAGAUUCCUACAAAUAAAGUGAUCGAGCAGGCACUCGAUCUUCUAUAGCUUGAACUGCCAACAAAACAACAUCUUUCAAUAUUGGAGUUAUCUCGAGAAACCUUGUUUAUUUCCUAGUUUAUCCUUUAGCUUAUAUCAAUUACACGUAUAUAAAAGUGGCGACGAGAUAAUUGGCAAACGCGUGUGAAAAAUAGCUAUCCAGCAGAAGAGAACGUGAAGUUUUUGUAUAUUCAUCGCCAUUGAUAGCUAGCAGUGGAAAAAUGGGUAAAGGUACAUGGUAGUGCAUGGAGUAUUCGUCCCUGGAGUCCUGGUUCAAGCUAAAAGUUUAGCUCUACACAAUAUGAUGGACAGAGGCGACACAAGCUGCGUUACAGCAGUUCUCACAUCGAUUGACCACGAUCCAAUGAUCAUCGGCGUAUGGAUGGCGAAAAUGUUCGCUGCGAUAUUCCAUGAGAUACGCUAUAGCCUGAACGAACAUCCUGUUGAAGCAGAUCCGAACAAUCCGCCAGGAAGAUCGAAAAUUCGACAUGAAUCGGAAUCGAGUUUUAAUGCUUUGCUUGAGAAAGUCAAAUGGCUUGUUUUAGAAGAUUAUUGUUUUGAAAGUGUACUAUAUUCUAUACCAAAAGUGCGAAUUUUUGUGUAUAUUAGAUUUGACAGUGUCUAUUGAUAAUUAAGAUUAGAAUGAAUGCUAUUCGCGGUUCAGCAAUCACAAAAUGAUGUUUGAAACUUCUACAGAGGGAAGAAUUGUGGUGAAUACCAUCCUUAGGGUUUAAAACGAUCAGCUACUGCCGUUGUGGCGAUCAAAAUACACAUAAGAUAACGAAUUGUUAUUUACUGAUAAUACCUAAAAGAAAAAGAUCUUUUGUAUAGAUUCCUACAAAUAAAGUGAUCGAGCAGGCACUCGAUCUUCUAUAGCUUGAACUGCCAACAAAA
Molecule: long non-coding RNA, 1042 nt
Organism: Aedes aegypti (yellow fever mosquito)
Lineage: Eukaryota; Metazoa; Arthropoda; Insecta; Diptera; Culicidae
Exons: 2
Source: RefSeq, a predicted model, not a curated record